RNAcentral lists this unclassified non-coding RNA (1935 nucleotides) under Hevea brasiliensis (rubber tree). Lineage: Eukaryota; Viridiplantae; Streptophyta; Magnoliopsida; Malpighiales; Euphorbiaceae. The record is from RNAcentral.
UUUUUUUUUUUUUUCUUUUUUUCUAUCUCUUUUUAUACACAUUAAGAAUAAACGGUAAUUAUAAGUUGUAAUUACCCAGCCAACAGAGAAGUUAUAGAACUCACCGCUUCGCCGCAUCACACCUACGUUGGCUGACUUUUCAAUAAGCAGCCAUUGUAGAAGCAAAACGCAAUACGAACGACCGUUCUCGAAGGUACGCAGAUCAGCUGUUUCUCAAAAGAGUCCGAAAUCAACAAGCCAAUUGCGAAUACGCAGCCAUUAGGUAUGCGCUAAUAUUUUUGUUUUGAUUUAUUUGCUGAUUGGAAAGAUUAAGAAAUUAUUAGAUACACACAAUACACAUGUUCCUUCUCAAAUUUCCUUUUUAUAUAAUAAAAAAAAUUCACUUUCUACACGGGUACACCAAACAAUUAGCCUACACUCUAUGCAUUUUUCUUAUUGACCAAUUUGAAAACACAAUUACAUGCCGCUACAACUUCAGUAUCAUAAUUUAAACGAUAACGGGGAUUCGCACAAUGCUACACGGAGUACGCAGGAUGCAGCGGAAAUUAUGCUAAAAAAGACAUGAAUUCAUAUCAAAUGGACUAAAAAAAAAAUUAGAGAAAAGAGAUUUUUCCUUUUUUUUUUUUCUUUUUCCAGUUACGUUACUCUUAAUCGGAUAACAUUACCAUUUGCAACUGUACUACAGUUCAAUGUACUAUUAAUUAUUCUCAAAACAGUCAAUACUCUGCACUCAAGCCCAAACAGACACUCUAGAGGAGUCUUACUCGACCUUGACAUGGAAUACGUCAGCCCUCUCCUCCUCCUUCACCUUGGGCACAACAACCUUCAACACACCAUUCUUCAUCUCAGCCUUGAUCUGAUCAGUUCUGUAGAUUUUCUCUGGCAGAUCAAUCCUACUGGUGUACCUCCUGCCGCUAUCUUCCUCAUCCGAUUCGUUCGCUCCCUCGCCUUUGAUAACGAGAGUGUUCUGUUCCAAAGAGACCUUCACAUCCUCCUUGUCGAGCCCAGGCAUGUCAAUGCGGAAAUUAAGAGCGUCAUCGGUCUCACGAACGUCCCAGCCUCUGCGUGGUCCAGCUCCUAAGCCUCGGGAGGUAGAGAGGAAAGGGUUGUCCAUGAAUUGGUCCAUCAUGUUUAGUACCUGGCUCAGGCUGCGACUUGGCCAUAAUGGAUCCACCACGUCUGGCAUACAUCAUAAAACGUAAAUAAAAACAUUAACUUACGCCCAACUAUGGCCUCCUAUGAGUAUGAUCACGGAAUUAAAGUCUCCUACUAAGAGCUUAGGAAAAUGAGAGGGUUAAACUCAAGUAAGCUUAGUUAACAUGGUAUUAGCCUAUUAGCACUCUGUUUGGCUGGAGAGAAAGCUGAAGAAAAAAAGUUGUUCGAACUUCAUGAUAAUACUUUUAAUUUUUUUAUUCUGUGCGUGGAAAAACGAAAGGCUAGAAAGAAAAGCAAAUACGCUCAAAUAACAUGAGAAGGGCCGAAAAAACGACUACCUGAGAAGAAAUCAUCUCGACGGCGGGACAGGUUGCGACCAGAGCGGCGAUCAACUUCAAUGCCACGUUCGUCUUCAUCAUCGUCAAAACGGCGGACAGCGUCGGUGUUGAAGAGUCGAGAAGCUGAUGCUGACGGUCGAAUAAAGCGCAGAUAGGUAGGGACAAGGUUUGAAGAAACGAGCCUCUUAAGAGCCAGUGAGGAAGCCAUUGCUUGGAGAAUGGUAAAUAGAAGCACAGAGCACUGAUCUUCUCGUAGAGACGGUGAACUCGGUUGGAGAAGAAAGACGAGAGAGGCUCUUUUUCAUAUACUGGAGAUAGGAAGGUACUAGACUAGACUGGAUUGGGGAGAAAGAAAGAAGAUUCUGGAAACAACGUUUUUGUCAUUCGAUGGUUCUCGAAAGACAGCUCAUCGAGCAGAUAUUUCAUUAUUUCUCCUGUUAAC